Molecule: ribosomal RNA, 79 nt
Filed under: Hymenolepis diminuta
Lineage: Eukaryota; Metazoa; Platyhelminthes; Cestoda; Cyclophyllidea; Hymenolepididae
Source: RNAcentral
GUCAGCGACCGUACCACGUAGAAAGCACCGGUUCUCGUCCGAUCACCGAAGUUAAACUACGUCGGGCCGGGUUAGUACU